Rhea pennata is the source of this 315-nucleotide long non-coding RNA. RefSeq lists it as uncharacterized. NCBI's taxonomy places the organism in Eukaryota, Metazoa, Chordata, Aves, Rheiformes, Rheidae. The record is from RefSeq and is a predicted model, not a curated record. The transcript is spliced from 3 exons.
CAGACUUGGUAUAACUGCAGGCUCAAAGGGAAGAUCUACUUAGUAAAGACAGCUGAACUUGGUACUGCAUUGUAGGAAAACAUAAGGAGGAAAACUCGUUGAAUUUGCUCCCGGUUCACCAAACCCUCCCUACCCCAAGUCUUUCGGACAAUCUCACGUCUGUCAAAGUCUUCAACCACCGAUUUGAUAGCAAUGAGCAGAAAGGGACCUCCAGUGUGUCCGGGGCUUAAAAUGCGUGUUUGAGCUGCCUGGUGCCAAUGUCCAUCUGUAAAUAAAUGUGUUGCAAGUCAGCAAAGAGGAUUCAGCAACUGUGAA